RNAcentral lists this long non-coding RNA (796 nucleotides) under Ananas comosus (pineapple). RNAcentral describes it as "long non-coding RNA (ACOM_LNC018963)". The record is from RNAcentral. Lineage: Eukaryota; Viridiplantae; Streptophyta; Magnoliopsida; Poales; Bromeliaceae.
UAUAAAUUUUAAUUCUAUAAUAUUGAUUAUUUAGAUAUAAGUUAUACAAUAAAAAAUAAAAGAGAGAUAGAUGGAGUUUAAAUUAAUUACUUAUUUAAUAAAUUUAGUUAAUUACAUAAAAUACUAAUUAAAACUGUAAAGCUAAAUGAAAUAUUCAAAGUUUGAAAUCAAAAUAUUAUUAACCGACUCAAAUUUAAUAUAUAAAAAAAGUUAGAUAGUAAAAAUAUAAUUUUGAAAAGUUAGAUAACUGAUUCAAAAUAGUUCGUAGUUCAGAAAAAAUUUAUACGGUUUUUACUGUGAUUUUAAUAUCAAACAUCAAUACCAUAUUUAUAGUCUGAUAUGCGAUUAAUUUCACAUUUAAAAUAUUUUCAAAUAUCCAAAAUAUAAUUGGUCAACUUUUAAUUUUAACAAUUAGACAUUUUAAAAUUUAUUAGAUAGUUUAACAUUUUUUUUCCUUAAAUGAAAUUAGACACACGAAGCUUUAGUUUUCAAACUUUAAUGAAUCCUAUUUUCAAACUCGAACUAUAAAGCAUAUGAUAUUUUAAUCCUAUAAAUAUAAUUUUAUUAUUCUUAUAAAUUUUUUUAUUUUUUUAAUCCUUCUUAUAUUUUUAUUCUUAUUCUUUUUUAUCAUUCUUAUAUUUUUAUUCUUUUUAUAUUUUUAUUCUUAUUCUUUUUUAUCAUUCUUAUAUUUUUAGUUUUAUUCUUUUAUAUUUUUAUUUUUAUAUUUUUAUCAUAGCAACUGUUAUUUUUUUUUUAAUUUUUUAGCUUUAUUUAUUUCUACGGAAUCGACCAGUCG